This 3659-nucleotide long non-coding RNA is filed under the name Canis lupus familiaris (dog). RNAcentral's name for it is "lncRNA (ENSCAFG00000053372.1, ENSCAFG00845020492.1)". Lineage: Eukaryota; Metazoa; Chordata; Mammalia; Carnivora; Canidae. The record is from RNAcentral.
UUUUUUUUUCUUUUCAGUUUUUAAAUAUAUUUAAUUUAUAUUUCAUUUUGUGCUCUUUGAAUGUAAUAUUUCACUUUACUCUUUUAAAUCAUUACUGCCAAUAGGAUAGUAAUUAUAUGAAAAAUCUUGAUUAUAAUUAAGAUAACCAAUAGGUUUAACUGGAAUAAAACAAGAACAGUGAAUGUUACAGAAUUAAUAUAUAAUACUUUAUGAGUUAGGCAUGUCUUUAUUUUCUAGAUGUUACUCAUCUAACACCACUGAACACCUGGACGUGAGCAAUAAUCAUGAAACUUAAUCAUCUUUGAUAUCUGACUUCCUGAUAUCUUUAUGUGACUUCCAGACAGAAAAACCACAGAUACACAGAUUUUGUUUUGUUAUGAAAUUUUCUUUCUUGAAUAGGAGGAUAGAACAUAUUUUGCUAGUACUUUAUAGCUUGAUUUAUGAUGUUUAAAAAUGUAAAUUCUGUAAUAUGGCCCUGCAUGUGUCCUUUUGCCCAGAGCACUGAAGAGUCAGGGCCGGUGCUCUGGUGGGAAGAGCAGACAUGUCCAUGGGUACUUCUUGCCCCAACAAUGGCCAGAGAAAGAGUGCUGCUGGGGUUCACAUCUUCGUGGGUUCAUGUUAACGGGGAGUGGGGGGUGUAGUAAGACUAAGGAGGAAACCCCAAGGAGAAAGGAAAUCACUUAAUCUACACAUUUGCUCCUUACUGUGAUAAAGAUAAGUGAUAACAUCAUCCCCAUGUUUUUUUUUUUUUUUUUUCAUCAUCCCCAUGUUACAGAGGGUGGCUCAGAGAGGAUUCGUGAAUGGCUCAAGUCACGCAGGUUGCCUAGUUCUGAAACCACCUACAGCAGGGCAGCAGUAUCCCCCUGCAAACCUAGUAGAUGCCACUCAGUAGCUCUGUUACUCAGGUUCUUUCCAGCCAGCUUGACCUGGGUGCAGGUGCAGGGCCUCUAGGUGGUGGAGAAUGCAGCAUUUCCCCCACUGCCAGCUGCCUCAGGUAGCCUCAGAGCACCAGCAUGCCCAGACACAAGCACAUUGAUGACCUGUGUCCCUAGGCUGCCCCAGCAUUCUCCUGUAGGGGUCAAAGGACCUCUCUGUCACAGGUCUGACUCACAGCCCCACCCGGGCACUGAACCUCAGGACUUCUCAAUGCCAGGACUGGCCCUGGAGGAUGUGUUGGGGGAGGGUGGUAGCAGGCUUGGGGCUGUGCUCAGUGAGAGUCAAAGAGUGACCUGAGGGCAUGAGGGGAGGGAUAAGUCCCUGCCUCUUGUCCAGCCUAGGCUAGAGAGGGUUCUCCAUUCUUCUGAAGGCAAACCUGUCCUGAGAGGUUAGAAGGCUGCCCUGAAGCCACCCAGCCAGAGAGGGAGGCCCUUACUUGCUCUCUGUGCUGAUCCUGAUCUGUCCUCAAUCCCCUCAGCCAGCCUUUCAGGCUCCUACUCUGAUGGUGACCACCCUGGGACCUGGUAAGGGGAACACUGAGCCACACUCAAAAAACGUAGCUGAACCCCAGCCCUGUCCCAGGCUUGGGUCAUAGCCCCCAAGGGCUUUCCUAGGGGCCCUGUAGCAUAUCAUCUUCAUUAGCCAGGCAGGGAAACUGAGGCUCCAAUUGGCUGGUUGUGUGCUGCAGGCUGCCCAGCUGGGCAUUGGGUUGGGACUGCUCUACAUGGCCUGACGCUAAGAUUGAGGCCUGUACCCCAACUGUGGGACGGGGAUCUGAGGGAAAGGCCACAAAGGAAAAGACUGCCUGUAGGAAUGACAGGAGUUCUGACCAGGGGUUGUCUGUCCAUCAGGAAGGGGAAUUCUGUGAGCCAGGCCUGGCACCACUGGCCCUGCUCUCCCUCCUGCUCUCCUUAGCCCUUCGCACACUGCUGCUCACUGGUCUGAACAAUACAGUUGUGCCCAACAUCCCACCUAUACCUGUGUGCUCACACCCGCAUGCUGACCCAAUCCCCAGACACACAUGCACACACCCCCCUUCCCUACUGUUUCUGGUUGUCCACUCUGUGCCCAUUUCUGGGCUGGAAGCUGAGUACUGCAGAGGCUGUGCCAGAACUAGGCCUCUUCUGGGGCCCAGGAGACUUAAUGCUGAGAUGGUGGAGUCUCAGGAGGCAGCUGCAGUCAGGUAGGGCUUCCUGGAGGUGAGGACCCAAACUGAGGCCUCAGCACCCCUACCCCCCUCACUGAGGUCACUGUCUGUCCUCUGAGCCUCUCUCCCUGGAGUGGCCAGCAGGUUCCAGGAAGUGUCCCUUCACCCUGCAGUGCUGAUUCCAAGAACUGUAGCUCCUGGCAGGGCUUGCUCAGGAUCCUUUCCUAGAACACAGGCCUUGCCCCGCCCAGGCUGCUGGAGCCUAUUGGGCAGCUGGUGGAGGUAGUGGAGGAGGGGGUACCCUGGGAGGAGCCUCUGGAGGAACCAGACACUGGGAGGGGGGCCCAGGCUGUCUGCCUGGAGGGGAUGGAGGCCAGAAAGUCAGUGAGUGUGAGGGUGCUUUGACCCCUUGUUGCUAUGGGGGGGGCCCGUCCAGUGAUUUCAGCUCAGAGCCUCGCUGCACACACAGGAGGCUCGCUCCUUGGGCCCAGGAAUUUAGUAGGCUGCUGCAAUUCCACCCAACAUCUCACUCUGUGCCCCUGCUAGCCUGGCACCCUGGGGUCCCAUCCCGUGGACGAAAGGCACAGGCCUUAAUCUGGCCUCAUAGUGGGGCCUUCAUCAGACAACCUCCAGAGGGAGAGGCCAGGGGACAGGAGUGGCAGGCUCAGAGCUGCGAGAGGGGAAUGGGACUGUCAGUCUUGGGGCUCUUGGAAGGAUGUGACAUCUGCAUUAUUAAUACUCUUAAAAUUUCACCUAGCCUGGUUAGGACAGAGGAAGUCACCCCACCGCAUAGCUCAGCAAGUCAGGUCAGGUAGAGGGGGGUCCGGGGGACAGGAUCAGGUUCAUGGACAAGGACAGGCCCCAACCUCCGUCAAGGUCACGGGCCAGUCCUCCACCCCCACCCCCGCUGAGCUGGCAGCCCUGCCUGGCCCGCCUGGGACCUGCCAGAUCACGUUGAGCAACCAGUUCCUGAGAAGCGUUGAAGGCUGUUUGGUUUAAAAUUAACUCCCCCACUCCUCCCUCCCCUGCCUGUGGGCCUCCUCUGAGUUCUUGGAAGAGGCGCUCUGCUCUUUCUUCCUGGGAAGAGGCCUCCAGCCGCAGCUGCUCCGAUUCUAGUGAAAACACCUCACCCCGGGUGGGGGCGGGGGUGCGACACCAGCCUUCUCCGCCCUCUGAAAGGCCCAGGGAUCCUCCUGGAGCCUAGCAUGCCCUGGUUUGCCCAGUGAGACUCAGAGGAGAAAGGGAGUGAUUGUCAAGGUACUGGCAGGGGUGCUACUGCCCCAAUCGGGGGCCCGCUGGCUCUGAGCCAAGAGGUAGAGGGCUACAGAGACCCAGCCUGGGCCCUGGCGUAGAGAGAUCACGUGCGGACGGCAGACUCAGGACUUCGGCUUCUUUGAGACCCAUGUGGCUCAGAGAGAUAAAGCUAGCUGUGCGGGGUCCCCCAGCUUUGCUGGCCAGGCUGACAACACUGACCUGGCAGUGAUGCCCCAGGGCAGCCCCCGAAGUCACUUACCUUGGAGCCGGAGCCCGGAGCCAGAGUGCUGUCUGUGAGGAGGUCCUUGUCUCUUACCCACAC